This 586-nucleotide unclassified non-coding RNA is filed under the name Boronia falcifolia. Its description in RNAcentral is "partial miscellaneous RNA". The record is from RNAcentral. Lineage: Eukaryota; Viridiplantae; Streptophyta; Magnoliopsida; Sapindales; Rutaceae.
GAACGGAAUCCCUCACGACGUUGUAAAACGACGUCACGCAUGAACGUAAUGCUCAUAACUUCCCUCUAGACCUAGCUACUAUUGAAGCUCCAUCUACAAAUGGGUAAUAUUUUUGUUUUUGUGGAGACGAGUUUUUGAAAAUUUGAAAAUAACGGAUCCAUACCGACCCCUCAAGGGGUUGGUAUGGAUCCGUUAGUAAGUCGAUUUUUUUAUUUUUUUAGUAGUUUUUUUUUAUUUCUUUUCGUUGAUUUAGUAUGAUCCAUUUGGUAUGUACUAAUAUUACUAAUAAGUUAUUACUAAUAAAUUUCUAAUAGAUAAAAAUUUGGUAAUAUUCGAUAAUAUUACCAGUAUUCUAAAUUAAUUUAAUAGGAAAGAAAAAAUAGGAAAGAAAAAGGUUUUCUUUUUUUAUUUUUCGAUCUUUUUUUGUAUCUUAAUAACUAAGAUAAUAAGAUGAGAUAAAAAAAGAAUAAUCAAUGCUUCAAAAUUAUUGCGAUCUUUGUAGUUCAUAUUUUUGUAAAUAUCCGAGGGCGGAUGUAGCCAAGUGGAUCAAGGCAGUGGAUUGUGAAUCCACCAUGCGCGCCUGUGU